Dermochelys coriacea (leatherback sea turtle) is the source of this 99-nucleotide long non-coding RNA. RefSeq lists it as uncharacterized. The record is from RefSeq and is a predicted model, not a curated record. The transcript is spliced from 4 exons. NCBI's taxonomy places the organism in Eukaryota, Metazoa, Chordata, Testudines, Dermochelyidae.
AUGUUUUCUGUUAUGAAUGAAAUGACCCAUUGAAACAUGUUUUUAACUUAUUAAGAAAUGUUGGUUGUCACAGCUGUUAGUAAUAAUGACUGGAUUAGA